Molecule: ribosomal RNA, 253 nt
Filed under: uncultured bacterium
Lineage: Bacteria
Description: partial 16S ribosomal RNA
Rfam family: Bacterial small subunit ribosomal RNA
Source: RNAcentral
UACGUAGGGAGCAAGCGUUGUCCGGAAUCAUUGGGCGUAAAGCGCGCGUAGGUGGCUUCAUAAGUCCGUUGUGAAAGUCAAAGGCUCAACCUUUGAAAGCCGAUGGAUACUGUGGAGCUAGAGUACGGAAGAGGCGAGUGGAAUUCCUGGUGUAGCGGUGGAAUGCGCAGAUAUCAGGAGGAACACCAAUAGCGAAGGCAGCUCGCUGGGACGUUACCGACACUGAGGCGCGAAAGCGUGGGGAGCGAACAGG